RNAcentral lists this ribosomal RNA (433 nucleotides) under uncultured bacterium. Its description in RNAcentral is "partial 16S ribosomal RNA". It matches the Rfam family "Bacterial small subunit ribosomal RNA", at positions 29 to 507 of the family's 1533-position model. The record is from RNAcentral.
AACGAACGCUGGCGGCAUGCCUAACACAUGCAAGUCGAACGAGACCUUCGGGCUUAGUGGCGCACGGGUGCGUAACGCGUGGGAACCUGCCCUUAGGUUCGGAAGAACUCCCCGAAAGGGGUGCUAAUACCGGAUAAUGUCUUCCGACCAAAGAUUUAUCGCCUUUGGAUGGGCCCGCGUUGGAUUAGCUAGUUGGUAGGGUAAAAGCCUACCAAGGCGACGAUCCAUAGCUGGUCUGAGAGGAUGAUCAGCCACGCUGGGACUGAGACACGGCCCAGACUCCUACGGGAGGCAGCAGUGGGGAAUAUUGGACAAUGGGCGAAAGCCUGAUCCAGCAAUGCCGGGUGAGUGAUGAAGGCCUUAGGGUUGUAAAGCUCUUUUACACGGGAUGAUAAUGACAGUACCGGGAGAAUAAGCUCCGGCUAACUCCGUG